RNAcentral lists this non-coding RNA (142 nucleotides) under Pan troglodytes (chimpanzee). Lineage: Eukaryota; Metazoa; Chordata; Mammalia; Primates; Hominidae. The record is from Rfam by way of RNAcentral.
GCUGGGCGUGGUGGCGCACGCCUGUAGUCCCAGUUACUUGGGAGGCUGAGGCAGGAGAAUUGCUUGAACCCGGGAGGUUGUAGUGAGCUGAGAUCGCGCCACUGCACUCCAGCCUGGGCGACAGAGCGAGACUCUGUUUCAA